UACGAAGGACCCAAGCGUUAUCCGGAUUUAUUGGGUUUAAAGGGUGCGUAGGCGGAUUGUUAAGUCAGUGGUGAAAGCUCCGAGCCCAACUCGGAAACUGCCAUUGAUACUGAUGAUCUUGAGUACAUUUGAGGUGGGCGGAAUGUGUCAUGUAGCGGUGAAAUGCUUAGAGAUGACACAGAACACCGAUUGCGAAGGCAGCUCACUAAACUGUAACUGACGCUGAGGCACGAAAGCGUGGGGAGCAAACGGG
This 253-nucleotide ribosomal RNA is filed under the name uncultured bacterium. Its description in RNAcentral is "partial 16S ribosomal RNA". It matches the Rfam family "Bacterial small subunit ribosomal RNA", at positions 524 to 776 of the family's 1533-position model. The record is from RNAcentral.